CUUUAAUCUAAAUUCAACAAAUAAAGAUAGUCGGUUGGAUAAAUUCAUUACACAGUGUGCUAGUGACCUAAUAUGAAGUAUAACAGGGUAAGUAAAUUACAUAUGGGGUUCGAGCUUAUUUACUAAUAGUAUUACUGAAAAAUUAUAACACCAGGGUUUUCGAUAUCACAAACUAGUCAAAACAUUUACUAAAUGUUAUCAUCGGUAUGAGGACAUCAUCAUUCGCAAGUAUAGCUCACCAUGCAGACUUCUUAUACGUUCAGGUAGUUCAUAUCCAAUAUUUUAUAGACAUAU
RNAcentral lists this long non-coding RNA (294 nucleotides) under Mytilus galloprovincialis (Mediterranean mussel). Lineage: Eukaryota; Metazoa; Mollusca; Bivalvia; Mytilida; Mytilidae. The record is from RNAcentral.